AUGGGAGGAAUACACUUCCUCACUGUGUUGACAUUGGAAUUAACCAUGUGACUUGCAUUGGCCAAAAGAAUGUGUGUUGAAGUGACGAUGUCUCCAUUUCCCCUUCUUGAGCAGCUGUCACUGGUCGUGAGAACCGUGAGUCCCAGACAGUGGGGGCUGCUUCAGCCUGGAUUCAGAAUGAGAAGAUUCAUGGGGCAUGCACCCCACGGCCUGGAGCCCAGCCUAGGAGAGCUGUGAUGAACCCCAAACUGACUUGCAGACCCCUGGGGAGGAAGACGUGGACUUGCCCAAGUAGUCUCAACCAAAAUGUGGCAGAGAGGAAUUCAGACCUGGGUCUGUCUCAGACUCCUGGAAGUGAUGGGGAGCCACUUGGUCUCCAGGCUAGCAGGUUUGGAGCUCUCCCUGGUCCCCCAGGAACCUGUCCAGCCUCGAACAGAAGGUUCCAGAGAUGUGCUCAAUGACAUGUUGGGGGCAUGGUUUUUCUUUAUCACUUGGGCUUUCUUGGUUCACCUAAUAAACCACCUCAU
Molecule: long non-coding RNA, 527 nt
Organism: Cervus elaphus (red deer)
Lineage: Eukaryota; Metazoa; Chordata; Mammalia; Artiodactyla; Cervidae
Exons: 3
Source: RefSeq, a predicted model, not a curated record